This is a long non-coding RNA of Sapajus apella (tufted capuchin), 1139 nucleotides long. RefSeq lists it as uncharacterized. The transcript is spliced from 4 exons. NCBI's taxonomy places the organism in Eukaryota, Metazoa, Chordata, Mammalia, Primates, Cebidae. The record is from RefSeq and is a predicted model, not a curated record.
CAUGCAAAUGAAUUUAUUGUUUUUUCCUUUGUAGGCUUUUGGUAGCCCAUAGAAGUAUUUGAUCAGAGAUGUGAAUGCAAGUUUUUAAGAAGAUCAUCUGACAGUGUUGUACAUAUGUAUUGGAGUAAGAGAAUACACACCAGUGAGAUGAGGUUAUGUUCACAGACAGAUGCAUUAACAGUGAAAGCUGUUGAAAAGAUUUUUCCAUUCAUGGAUUUCAAUGAGAAAGGAUGAAGAAUCAAAGUCCUUUUAAGGAUUAAGCAAAGGAUUGGCAGGUUACACUGGGAAUCCUGAAAACAAUGAAGGUACAGAUGUGUCAUGGUUUGUGAGAUGUGAGCUCAGGAGACAUGCAAUUGUGAGGUAUUCUACAGAAUAAAUUGGCAGUGACUGCGCAGCUGUAGAUGAAAACAUCACGCAGUGUUGACAAGGUAAGUCAGAAAUGCAUUACAGAGAAUUUGAUAUUAGUUAUGUUGUAAAUAACAAAAGCUGAUUAUGCAUAGCAAAAUAAAAUAAUUUACUUGAGUAAUAAAAAAAUUGCAAAACAAGUUUGAAUUACCACAAUUCCAGAAUGUAAGUAGUCAUAAAAUUUUAAGAAACCUCAGAAGCAGUGUUACUGAAGUUUAUUCUAGAAUAUUAGAGGAUAUAAUUUUCUCAUGUUAUUAUAUUUUAUAUAACAGAUUAUAACAGAAAUAUUGUAUAGUUAUGCAUAUCAAAAUGGACUGAACAUUUUUAUUCAUGAAUUGAUUUUCUGGAUACAUAUAAAUACAGAUCUGACUUGGUUUUCAGAUUUGUAAAUUCAAUUUUAUAAAACAUUUAUUGAGAUAUAAUUAGCAUAUCAUAAAAUACACUCUUUAGAGCAUACAAUUUUGUGGUUUUUAAGAUAGUUGCAGAGUUGUACAAUUCUGCCAACUUAAAAAUUUUAGGAUAUUUUAUCUUCCAAAAUAGAAAUCUGGUACCCAUUACAGGCAGCUUCCGUCCUCUUCAAAUCUCAAACCCCUGGCAACCAGUAAUCAACUUUUGGUCUGUAUGGAUAGGGUUAUUUUUAAAAUUUCAUAGAAACAUGAUCCUACAAUAUGUGGUCUUGUGUCUUCUUUCAAUUAGUAUAUUUUCAAGGUUUAUCUGUGUUGUUGCAUGUAUAC